This 617-nucleotide long non-coding RNA is filed under the name Brassica napus (rape). RNAcentral's name for it is "long non-coding RNA (BNAP_LNC006946)". The record is from RNAcentral. Lineage: Eukaryota; Viridiplantae; Streptophyta; Magnoliopsida; Brassicales; Brassicaceae.
GGCCGAGAACUCGUCAACUCGGGCGCGUUUUCGAACAGAGACCCUACGUAACCUAAAACCUUUCUAACCCUAAACCCUUUCUAGCCCUAAACCCUGCCUAACCCUAAACCCUUUCAAACCCUAAACCCUACCUAACCCUAAACCCUCCCAAACCCUAAACCCCUUCUAACCCUAAAUCUGACCUAACUCUAAACCCUGCCUAACCCUAAACCCAACCUAACCCUAAACCCUUUUUAACCUUAAACCCUUUCUAGCCCUAAAUCCUACUAACCAUAAACCCUACUAACCAUAUAUCCUUUCUAACCCUAUACCCUGCUAACCCUAAACCCUACCUAAUUCUAAACCCUACCUAACCCUAAACUCUACUAACCCUAAACCUAGCCCUAAAACCUACCUAACCCUAAACCCUACUAACCCUAAGCCCUACCUAAUUCUAAACCCUACCUAGCCCUAAACCCUACCUAACUCUUAACCCUACCUACCCUAACCCUACCUAACCCUAAACCCUACCUAGCCCUAAACCCUACUAACCCUAAACCCUACCUAACCCUAAACCCUACCCAACCCUAAACCCUACUAAGUUUAAACCCUACUAACCCUAAACCCUACCUAACCCU